GAAACCUCCAGCAGAACCAGGCUCAGGGAGGGGGGGUCAUCUGCUGAGGGGGGAGAGACAGAGAUUAAUAAUAACUAACAAUUAACAGGUAACAAAUGAACCAAGUGGUGCCCACAACAAAAGAUGUCAGGUGAACACAUUUGAAAGGACCAAUAUCCUUUCUCCUUACUAAAAUUAUUAUUAUUAUCAUGCCUCCAUGGGGUAGUGGUUAACACAAAUGUGCUUUACAAGCAAAAGGUCACUGCUUUCAUACCAGCCGGAGGCACGAAGGACAUCUGAUGCAAAACUCUGCAAAGUCAGCCCUGCAGAGCGAGCAGCCAAAAGUGUCUUUUAUUAAAAUAUAUAACUACUUAUGUAGUGAUCCCACUGGUCCAGAUGUAGCGCAGCUAAUUCAUGAUACUAAAAGAUAUUAAAAAUGUAAUUCUGGAGGAUGAUUGCUCACAAUUUGGCAACCCCAAUGGAAAACUUGUUGCUAUUAGUGACUUAAAUAGACCUUAUAAACUGCAUCAGUUUGUGUUGAUGCUGCUUUGGAUUUAUGAAACUUGUGAUUUAAGGUUCCAAAAACAAAGAUAUGAGUGUGCGUGAAGCUGCCAGCCUCCCUACAGGUAACUGCAGCUCGUUUUUAGGACAGUUUGAGUAAAAAGCAGUUUCAGAAAAAGAUGCAUUGUGACUUUUUUGUUGCUCUAUGUUGAAUAUAGAAAGACUUGGUGUUUUGUGGCGACUUUGAUUGGCUUUCUCAAAUUCUCCUGUGAGUUUCCGUUGGCUGAGUGGGGACAGCAAAGCUCUUUAGCAUCUUAUCUGCUUGUCCAACUGCUGUGACCGAGGGCCCGUUCUACUUCCUGUCCUAAUGCACUGCUGGAUAACAAAGAUCUCAGUGUGCAGAGUCAGGGAGGGGGUGUGGGGGCGAGGGCAGCUCCAAACAAACCACUGACUGCAUAAACACUCUUUACAGCAGCCUGAACCUCGGACUCAUGACGGAGAGACUGAAUGUAAAUGCCUACUAAAUGUGAUGAACAUUCUCCUUUUAUAGUGAGUGUUUAUGGGUGGCUCCGGGUGUGCUCGCAACUUUCAGUUUGUUCUUGCCGUGUUGCGCUUUUAUUUUGAAAGGUUAUGUUUACGGUUGCCAUGCCAACACUCUGCGGCCGUCUGGUUUGGCUCUACGUGUAGAUAACGUUGUGAGGUGGAAGACGAAGAAAGCCAAGUGUGCAGAGCUCGCUAGCGGAGAGGUCCGGGUCUAAAACUUGAUUAGCGCCCUUGGAGAGCGGAAUGAGUUUUCACGGUGUCAAGAUGGCAAAGUGUCACAGUACCACUGUCUGGUGCUUACCAAAGGAAGAGAAAUAAACGACACCCGUUUGAAACUCUACGUGUUUGGUUUAUACCAUCCAAGGGGCCGCUACAGUGAAAACUCAACGCUGCACCAGUCUGAAAAUUCCUGCGCUUAAGCCAUCAC
Archocentrus centrarchus (flier cichlid) is the source of this 1450-nucleotide long non-coding RNA. RefSeq lists it as uncharacterized. Lineage: Eukaryota; Metazoa; Chordata; Actinopteri; Cichliformes; Cichlidae. The transcript is spliced from 3 exons. The record is from RefSeq and is a predicted model, not a curated record.